AUGACCCGCUUGCAUCAUAGGCGUGUCUCAAUGGCUAGGUCGAACAAGUCUUCUUCUAGUGCCUCCGUAGGAAACAAUGGAUCAACUCGGCCAACUGCACAAGCUAAAAAGCCUAGAACACCAAGAACUAGGACUUCAGCCGGUCUCAGACUAGAGGAAAUUGACCGACCGCUUAUAGUUCCCGUUGGCAUGGCAUGGGAAAGGCACCCAUACAGCGCUCGUGAUCCAUCAACGGUGCUAGGUGCCUUAGUGCGCCAGAUGUAUCCACCGCCAAUUGGUCCAAAAAAUGAUCAGAAACCGGUAUUGUGUUGGGAGGACUACAAGUGGUCCCCUGGUCCAGAAGUAAGAACAACAGCUUCCAAAAUAGUGGAAGAAUUUUGGUGGCGUUUCAAGUGUGACCCAUCGGAGCAAGAGAAGGCAGAUGGUGUUUUGGAGGAGAACUUAACUAGGAAAGUGAAGCUGAUGCUACAUGAGGAAAAGGCGGCAGCCAUCAAAAGAUUAAAGAAGAAGGGACAAUUGCCUACAGAACUAACAGAAGAGGAUGAGGAUGGUAACCGCUGGCCAACUAAGGAAGCUUUAAUUUCUGCAAAGAGAGUUGACUUUGGUACAGACGUUGGUUGGCGUCUACUAUGUGAGCACUGGAGUAGUACUGAAUUUAGAGGGUUAUCUUUAACCAACAAGAGGAACAGACUUGCUAAUGGGGACACGGUCUUCCAUUGUAGUGGUGCUAGAAGUGUUGUCGCCACACGUCAAUUUCUGAAACUCAAAACCGGGAAAGAUCCUGGAAUUUUUGGUGCUUGGCUUCACACGCACAAAUUGCAUCGAGGGACUGAUGAAGAGCAGAUAUGCAGUCAAAGAACUGCUGAUCAUUGGAGGGAUCAAGCUCCACAUCAUCUGACUCCUUUCUUGGCUCAGUAG
RNAcentral lists this ribosomal RNA (918 nucleotides) under Triticum aestivum (bread wheat). Its description in RNAcentral is "partial small subunit ribosomal RNA". Lineage: Eukaryota; Viridiplantae; Streptophyta; Magnoliopsida; Poales; Poaceae. The record is from RNAcentral.